Molecule: unclassified non-coding RNA, 516 nt
Filed under: uncultured Entrophospora
Lineage: Eukaryota; Fungi; Glomeromycota; Glomeromycetes; Entrophosporales; Entrophosporaceae
Description: SSU rRNA
Rfam family: Eukaryotic small subunit ribosomal RNA
Source: RNAcentral
AGCAGCCGCGGUAAUUCCAGCUCCAAUAGCGUAUAUUAAAGUUGUUGCAGUUAAAAAGCUCGUAGUUGAAUUUCGGGAUUGGCGCAUCGGUCGUGCCUCACGGGGUAUGAACUGGUGCAGUCAAUUUCUCACCUUCUGGAGAACCGCGAUGUCCUUAAUUGGAUGCCGCGGGGAACCAGGACCUUUACUUUGAAAAAAUUAGAGUGUUUAAAGCAGGCAUUUUUGCUUGAAUACAUUAGCAUGGAAUAAUAAAAUAGGACGGCAUGGUUCUAUUUUGUUGGUUUCUAGGACCACCGUAAUGAUUAAUAGGGAUAGUUGGGGGCAUUAGUAUUCAAUUGUCAGAGGUGAAAUUCUUGGAUUUAUUGAAGACUAACUACUGCGAAAGCAUUUGCCAAGGAUGUUUUCAUUAAUCAAGAACGAAAGUUAGGGGAUCGAAGACGAUCAGAUACCGUCGUAGUCUUAACCAUAAACUAUGCCGACUAGGAAUCAGACGAUGUUAAUUUUUUUAAUGACUCG